CUGUAAGCCUGUGAAGGUGAGUUGAGAAGCUUGCUGGAGGUAUCAGAAGUGCGAAUGCUGACAUGAGUAACGACAAUGGGUGUGAAAAACACCCACGCCGAAAGACCAAGGGUUCCUGCGCAACGUUAAUCGACGCAGGGUUAGUCGGUUCCUAAGGCGAGGCUGAAAAGCGUAGUCGAUGGGAAACAGGUUAAUAUUCCUGUACUUCUGGUUACUGCGAUGGAGGGACGGAGAAGGCUAGGCCAGCUUGGCGUUGGUUGUCCAAGUUUAAGGUGGUAGGCUGAAAUCUUAGGUAAAUCCGGGGUUUCAAGGCCGAGAGCUGAUGACGAGUCGUCUUUUAGAUGACGAAGUGGUUGAUGCCAUGCUUCCAAGAAAAGCUUCUAAGCUUCAGGUAACCAGGAACCGUACCCCAAACCGACACAGGUGGUCGGGUAGAGAAUACCAAGGCGCUUGAGAGAACUCGGGUGAAGGAACUAGGCAAAAUGGCACCGUAACUUCGGGAGAAGGUGCGCCGGCUAGGGUGAAGGAUUUACUCCGUAAGCUCUGGCUGGUCGAAGAUACCAGGCCGCUGCGACUGUUUAUUAAAAACACAGCACUCUGCAAACACGAAAGUGGACGUAUAGGGUGUGACGCCUGCCCGGUGCCGGAAGGUUAAUUGAUGGGGUUAGCGCAAGCGAAGCUCUUGAUCGAAGCCCCGGUAAACGGCGGCCGUAACUAUAACGGUCCUAAGGUAGCGAAAUUCCUUGUCGGGUAAGUUCCGACCUGCACGAAUGGCGUAACGAUGGCGGCGCUGUCUCCACCCGAGACUCAGUGAAAUUGAAAUCGCUGUGAAGAUGCAGUGUAUCCGCGGCUAGACGGAAAGACCCCGUGAACCUUUACUGUAGCUUUGCACUGGACUUUGAGCCUGCUUGUGUAGGAUAGGUGGGAGGCUUUGAAGCGUGGACGCCAGUUCGCGUGGAGCCAUCCUUGAAAUACCACCCUGGCAUGCUUGAGGUUCUAACUCUGGUCCGUGAUCCGGAUCGAGGACAGUGUAUGGU
Molecule: ribosomal RNA, 1037 nt
Filed under: Pseudomonas aeruginosa
Lineage: Bacteria; Pseudomonadati; Pseudomonadota; Gammaproteobacteria; Pseudomonadales; Pseudomonadaceae
Description: bacterial LSU rRNA
Rfam family: Bacterial large subunit ribosomal RNA
Source: RNAcentral